UACAGAGGUCUCAAGCGUUGUUCGGAUUCAUUGGGCGUAAAGGGUGCGUAGGUGGCGAGGUAAGUCAGGUGUGAAAUCUCGGGGCUUAACCCCGAAACUGCACUUGAUACUGCCUUGCUCGAGUACUGGAGAGGAGAUUGGAAUUUACGGUGUAGCAGUGAAAUGCGUAGAUAUCGUAAGGAAGACCAGUGGCGAAGGCGAAUCUCUGGACAGUUACUGACACUGAGGCACGAAGGCCAGGGGAGCAAACGGG
This 253-nucleotide ribosomal RNA is filed under the name uncultured bacterium. RNAcentral describes it as "partial 16S ribosomal RNA". It matches the Rfam family "Bacterial small subunit ribosomal RNA", at positions 524 to 776 of the family's 1533-position model. The record is from RNAcentral.